AAUAAACCUGUGAGCAAGAGGAGUAGGAAUGAUUACUUAUACUCAGAGAAUCGCUAGUUGGUGAGAAUGCGGUUAUAAAGAUUAUUCUGAAUGGACUUGUGAGGGAAGCCCGAAAUUUUUUAGAGUAGGCGCUUACGGGAACCUUGUCCGUUAUCAGUAAGGUGUAUAUGAUUGUAUACAAAAGGAGUGGGCGAUUUAUCGUCAAUUUGGGUGGUACCGCAGAGCUUUCAAGCUUUUGUCCCUUUU
This 246-nucleotide non-coding RNA is filed under the name Clostridium homopropionicum. RNAcentral's name for it is "T-box sequence". It matches the Rfam family "T-box leader". From Rfam's summary of the family: Uncharged tRNA acts as the effector for transcription antitermination of genes in the T-box leader family. The record is from RNAcentral. Lineage: Bacteria; Bacillati; Bacillota; Clostridia; Eubacteriales; Clostridiaceae.